RNAcentral lists this long non-coding RNA (399 nucleotides) under Salvia miltiorrhiza (redroot sage). RNAcentral describes it as "long non-coding RNA (SMIL_LNC014042)". The record is from RNAcentral. Lineage: Eukaryota; Viridiplantae; Streptophyta; Magnoliopsida; Lamiales; Lamiaceae.
UUAUUACUGUUAUUUGCUAAAGGUGGCAGUGAUUUUUGUUGUUGCUAUCCAGUUAAAGAAGUUGAGAUAGUGAAAAAUUCCUAGCUGAAUCUUCCACUUGUAUGCAUAUACCUCACAUUUUCUGGAGAUGUUCCGUGGGCUGAAGGAAGCUAUAUGAUAUAUAGUACAUUGUUCUCAUAGCUCUCCCGUAUUUUAUUUUGUCCCAUUGCGUUUAAAUAAAUUGGUUCGCAAUUACAGAUAUCAAGCAUAAAAUCUAUUUUGUAUUUAUUGAUUAUUUUCUUUUGAGCAAGAGAGCUACAACAGAGGUCAUAAGCUGUACACUAAUCUGAUGUAAAGUCACUUCUGUGUGAAUUUUUAUGAAAAAUCACAUCAAGAAUAUAAAGGAAAAAAGUUAGAACA